Molecule: ribosomal RNA, 167 nt
Filed under: uncultured bacterium
Lineage: Bacteria
Description: partial 16S rRNA
Rfam family: Bacterial small subunit ribosomal RNA
Source: RNAcentral
CAAUAGGGAAUCUUCCACAAUGGGCGAAAGCCUGAUGGAGCAACGCCGCGUGUGUGAUGAAGGGUUUCGGCUCGUAAAACACUGUUGUAAGAGAAGAAUGACAUUGAGAGUAACUGUUCAAUGUGUGACGGUAUCUUACCAGAAAGGAACGGCUAAAUACGUGCCAG